AUUGAACGCUGGCGGCAUGCCUUACACAUGCAAGUCGAACGGCAGCACGGGAGCAAUCCUGGUGGCGAGUGGCGAACGGGUGAGUAAUACAUCGGAACGUGCCCAGUAGUGGGGGAUAACCCGGCGAAAGCCGGACUAAUACCGCAUACGACCUACGGGUGAAAGCAGGGGAUCGCAAGACCUUGCGCUAUUGGAGCGGCCGAUGUCAGAUUAGCUUGUUGGNGGGGUAAAAGCCUACCAGGGCAACGAUCUGUAGCUGGUCUGAGAGGACGACCAGCCACACUGGGACUGAGACACGGCCCAGACUCCUACGGGAGGCAGCAGUGGGGAAUUUUGGACAAUGGGCGCAAGCCUGAUCCAGCCAUGCCGCGUGCGGGAAGAA
Molecule: ribosomal RNA, 382 nt
Filed under: uncultured bacterium
Lineage: Bacteria
Description: bacterial SSU rRNA
Rfam family: Bacterial small subunit ribosomal RNA
Source: RNAcentral